Molecule: ribosomal RNA, 104 nt
Filed under: Xylodon brevisetus
Lineage: Eukaryota; Fungi; Basidiomycota; Agaricomycetes; Hymenochaetales; Schizoporaceae
Description: partial 5.8S ribosomal RNA
Rfam family: 5.8S ribosomal RNA
About the family: 5.8S ribosomal RNA (5.8S rRNA) is a component of the large subunit of the eukaryotic ribosome. It is transcribed by RNA polymerase I as part of the 45S precursor that also contains 18S and 28S rRNA.
Source: RNAcentral
AAUGCGAUAAGUAAUGUGAAUUGCAGAAUUCAGUGAAUCAUCGAAUCUUUGAACGCACCUUGCGCUCCUUGGUAUUCCGAGGAGCAUGCCUGUUUGAGUGUCGU